CGCGCGAUACAGGGUGACAGCCCCGUACACAAAAAUGCACAUGCUGUGAGCUCGAUGAGUAGGGCGGGACACGUGGUAUCCUGUCUGAAUAUGGGGGGACCAUCCUCCAAGGCUAAAUACUCCUGACUGACCGAUAGUGAACCAGUACCGUGAGGGAAAGGCGAAAAGAACCCCGGCGAGGGGAGUGAAAAAGAACCUGAAACCGUGUACGUACAAGCAGUGGGAGCACGCUUAGGCGUGUGACUGCGUACCUUUUGUAUAAUGGGUCAGCGACUUAUAUUCUGUAGCAAGGUUAACCGAAUAGGGGAGCCGAAGGGAAACCGAGUCUUAACUGGGCGUUAAGUUGCAGGGUAUAGACCCGAAACCCGGUGAUCUAGCCAUGGGCAGGUUGAAGGUUGGGUAACACUAACUGGAGGACCGAACCGACUAAUGUUGAAAAAUUAGCGGAUGACUUGUGGCUGGGGGUGAAAGGCCAAUCAAACCGGGAGAUAGCUGGUUCUCCCCGAAAGCU
This 511-nucleotide ribosomal RNA is filed under the name Escherichia coli. RNAcentral's name for it is "partial 23S ribosomal RNA". It matches the Rfam family "Bacterial large subunit ribosomal RNA", at positions 351 to 867 of the family's 2925-position model. The record is from RNAcentral. Lineage: Bacteria; Pseudomonadati; Pseudomonadota; Gammaproteobacteria; Enterobacterales; Enterobacteriaceae.